AUGGGUCAUGUCUCCGACGCGUGGCGUUGGCAUGCCAGGCUAGGACACCAGCACUUUGACGGGUUGCGAAAGAUGGCGCGAGGCAACCUCGUUCAUGGGCUACCUCACAUCGAGCACGCCGACGAAUUGUGCGAUGCGUGUCUUGCCGGGAAGCAGCGGCGCUUGCCCUUUCCCGAGAAGGCACGCUAUCGGGCGCAGAAACCCCUGGAGCUGGUUCACGGGGACCUCUGCGGCCCAAUCACCCCGACAACGCCAGGAGGGCGUCGCUACAUCCUGCUGCUCGUCGACGACUACAGCAGGUUCAUGUGGGUGCUUCUCCUCGCCUCCAAGGAUGAGGCGGAGCCAGCCAUCGUCAAGCAGCAAGCGGCAGCAGAGGUCGAGUGCGGCCACAAGCUGCGCGUUCUACGCACGGACCGUGGCGGCGAGUUCACGUCGGACACGUUCUACAAGCACUGCAACGAGAAAGGGGUGCAACGUCACCUCACAGCCCCUUACUCGCCGCAGCAGAAUGGCAUCGUCGAGCGGAGGAACCAAACGGUGCUCGGGAUGGCACGCUAUUGGGGAACG
Molecule: ribosomal RNA, 567 nt
Filed under: Triticum aestivum (bread wheat)
Lineage: Eukaryota; Viridiplantae; Streptophyta; Magnoliopsida; Poales; Poaceae
Description: partial small subunit ribosomal RNA
Source: RNAcentral